This is a non-coding RNA of Meleagris gallopavo (turkey), 1971 nucleotides long. The record is from RefSeq and is a predicted model, not a curated record. NCBI's taxonomy places the organism in Eukaryota, Metazoa, Chordata, Aves, Galliformes, Phasianidae.
AAAAGGGAUGGGUCUAAUGUUCUCAUCAAAGAACAAAAGUCUGCAGCUGCUGUCCAUGUAGUGACCUCACAGGGAGUGGGAAGAUUUAUGAACCUUUGCAAGAUCAUUGGAUAUUCUUUUUGCUAGCAAAAAAAGAUGUGAAUGAUUCAGUAAUCAGAAGGCUCAAUCUUUGCAAAAUUACUGCUUCUGUUUUGAUGGGGAGAAAGGAUAAUACUCCGCAUUGUUGGCUCUGUAGGGAUACUGUGCUGCAUGCAAAACUUGAGAAUCUAUGACUUCCAAUAUUAAGAAAUGGAGCAUCUCAAAUAGAUUUGAUACAAUGUUUUCUUGUCUACUGGAGAAGAGUCCAGAACCUAACCAGAGGGGGAAAAACAUUUUGCAUUACAAGUCUGACUUGUCUAAAGGUGGCAGUCAAAAAUGGCAAAGCGAGGACUUGAGCUGGUAACUGAUACUGUCUUUAAUUCAGAGUCUGUCAUUGAUACGUUAUAUCAGUGAUUAGACUCUUGAUGCUUUGUUUUAAUGAAGGCAUGGCUUUUGUUUUGACAUCAUAGCAUGCCUUCUAUACAAAUCUGGAAACAAUCUGUCAUUGCCCAGAGGUACAUGGGCCAUAAAUAAGCAUUGGAGUGCUGCUGGUGUUAAUCUGCAGAGGCAUUUCGUGCUAUGGAGGUUUCAUGCUAGCUGAGAAAUACUUUUCAACAUUUGAAGUGGUUGGGCAUAGCGUACGUCUGAUAAAAUUGCCAACAGGAAUGUCAGGGAAUUUUUGUGUAUGUUUUUUUGCUCAGCUUUUUUUAGUAUAGUAUAGUAGAAUUGGCUUGGGUGGAUGUUGGAAUAAACGCUUCUGAAUAGUCUUGGUGUUCUGGGCACUGCAGUAAAACCAGUGAUGUGAGACUGGCAAACUGGUGAAGGCUGGCUGAACUGUGGAAACAGCAGAUGUCUGACUCCUGUGUUGCUUGUGGCUAGCUGCUGUACCAAUGUAUUUAAAUAAAAACAACUUCAUUAGUUGACAAGGGCAAACAGCGGAGUCCUAAAAGCUCAUGCAUACAGACCCAAACCUCCACAGAUGUGCAUUCAACUGGCACAAAAACAGCUGAGUUGGCACAGUACAAAACAAAAUGUGAGAACCAAAGUGGAAUCAUCCUGCAGCUCAAGAAAUUCUUGUCAAGCAGUAACCAGAAGUUUGAAGCAUUGACAGUUGUGAUCCAGCACCUCCAGUCUGAGGUAAAAACUUAGAACUGAUCUGCGUACUAGUUUUAGUUUGUUGAACUGUUUUCAACUGUGGUUUUUGAAUACAUCAGUAUACUGAUAAAUGUCUGUUUCCACUCCAGUUGCUGCAUUCUUGUUUGUUCCUCCUCCUAGAAUUUUUUUUUUUAACUUGUGUUACAUUGCAACUGCAGUUAACUAUAGGCAUAUUAACUAUAGGCCUCCACUUAAUGGUGCUGUUAGAAGAGAAUGCCUUGGUGUUAGUGUGGUUUUUAAAAAAAUUUAAUAUGUAUUUGUAGUCUAGAAAUAAUUUGAUUAAGUUGCACAUUUAAUAUAGUGAAAGCUAUUUUUCCUCUAGUUCAAAUCUGGUCAAUUCAGUAAGAGCAGCUGUUUUGUUUUUUUUUUCUUGUUAAACUCUGGAUUGGAACAUCUUUCUCUAAUAUAAUUUAAUAUUUUCGAAGCAAUUUGAUACGGAAAUUUUGGACGCCUGUCAUCUAAUCUGAAAUGGUGAAAUUUUUCCUGCUAAACUUCUACUCGGUCUUUUAAUUAAUUUAUAAUAAGCACUUUAAUUUUUGAUAAUUUUGUGAAAUUAAAAGUCUUGGCAUAGGCUUUUGUCUCAAAUAUAUUGUGUUUGCAACAUCUUAAAUGUCAGGAAUACUUUUGGUGUAUCUUUAUCUGAAUACAUAAGAAAUCUUCAUAUGCACAUACUUCUUUCAGGCUGUUUUACAAUGUGUUUACAGUCUAAGCAUGAUUUCCUUGCAAAUAAUGGGAAUG